This 1213-nucleotide long non-coding RNA is filed under the name Manacus vitellinus (golden-collared manakin). RNAcentral's name for it is "lncRNA (ENSMVIG00005011911.1)". Lineage: Eukaryota; Metazoa; Chordata; Aves; Passeriformes; Pipridae. The record is from RNAcentral.
GGGGCCACCCCCAAACUGAUUGUUCAAUAUUCAGUGACAGCUCAGCUCUGCAGGACUCUCUUGUUUCAAUGCCCCAGGUCAGCAGUGGUACAAAACAUCCCCUGCUCUGGCCAUGAUCCAGGUGGGAGCUGUCAUUCCCUGGGGAUUGAACAGCAGCUUGUUGAACAGCUACCAGGAGACAGGUCCUGCCAGCAGCCACCAAACAGCAACUUGUGUGGGAGAGAGCAAAGUGCCCCAAAUCAGGGUCAGCAGGGAAAGGGUCUCACCGAGUUCACACUUGGAAUUGGAAGGAAGGAAGAGAACCCUCCUGCCACUCCUUUUACUCCUCCUUCCACAACCUACACUUCCCUCUGGGAAACAUCCUUGUCUACAUUUGAAUUCCUGAGAUUGAAGAAUGAUUGCACAGCCAGACCAAGAGGAACACUCCUGAUUCCUCAAGGUCACCCAUGGUUUCACAGCCUGACCACUACUCUUCUUCCAGCAAGGAAAAGACAGAAUUCAUUAGUUUUGCUUCUCAACUGGCACAUUUUAGCUGCUCUUUGUCAACCUCAAGCACAGAACACCAUUGAUGAACACCACACGGACUCUGAGCUCACAAAGGGACAGGGCAGAGCUAGUAAAAUACAUUAUCUACAAGAAAUAGGUGGUUUCUUUUACAAAUUCUGUGCAAGAUAGAAAUAGUUCAAUGGCCUCAAAGUCAGUAUAAUUAAUUACAAUUGGGGCUUUGAUACAGUGAUACUUUAGGUUUGAAAAGAUUUGUGUUUUGCGUUUUAGGCCCCAAAUCCUGAGUCAUAUUGAGAGAAAUGUGAAUCUGUUGGUGUUCCAGUACAAUGAGUUACAGGUCAAAGGUUUAUAAACACACACAGGAGAAGCCUGAGAGUAGGAAGGAUUUUAAAAUCAGCUAUAAAAGAAGAAAAUGGGAAGGUUUUUUUUUCCUGUUAACCCUGCGUUUGAGUUGGCACUAAUUUGCCUCAGAAGUCCUUGGCAGCUUUACUAAAUACCUACUCCUAAUUAUAAAUGCUGUGACCUAGAUGAGGGUUUGCAGGCAGGACUCUGCUACAGGAGGAUUGAUUUUCAUUUAGAGCAUCCCCUCAGACUUUUCCAUGGAUGUCAGUAAGAUGCACCAUAUGGCUUGAAACACUACUUUAGGAAUAUAUAAACUAUGUUCUCUUGCAUGCACUUCUCAGAAGGUUUUAAGGAUCGAGUCUGAGGA